AACCUCCGCAAUGUGAGAAAUCGCGACGGGGGGAUCCCAAGUGCCAUUCUUAACGGGAUGGCUUUUCAUUAGUGUAAAGAGCUUUUGGAAUAAGAGCUGGGCAAGACCGGUGCCAGCCGCCGCGGUAACACCGGCAGCUCUAGUGGUAGCAAUUUUUAUUGGGCCUAAAGCGUUCGUAGCCGGUUUGAUAAGUCUCUGGUGAAAUCCUGUAGCUUAACUGUGGGAAUUGCUGGAGAUACUAUUAGACUUGAGGUCGGGAGAGGUUAGCGGUACUCCCAGGGUAGGGGUGAAAUCCUGUAAUCCUGGGAGGACCACCUGUGGCGAAGGCGGCUAACUGGAACGAACCUGACGGUGAGGGACGAAAGCCAGGGGCGCGAACCGGAUUAGAUACCCGGGUAGUCCUGGCCGUAAACGAUGUGGACUUGGUGUUGGGGUGGCUCCGAGCUGUUUCAGUGCCGAAGGGAAGCUGUUAAGUCCACCGCCUGGGAAGUACGGUCGCAAGACUGAAACUUAAAGGAAUU
Molecule: ribosomal RNA, 521 nt
Filed under: uncultured bacterium
Lineage: Bacteria
Description: bacterial SSU rRNA
Rfam family: Archaeal small subunit ribosomal RNA
Source: RNAcentral